This 133-nucleotide ribosomal RNA is filed under the name uncultured bacterium. Its description in RNAcentral is "partial 16S ribosomal RNA". It matches the Rfam family "Bacterial small subunit ribosomal RNA", at positions 356 to 487 of the family's 1533-position model. The record is from RNAcentral.
AGGGAAUAUUGGUCAAUGGGCGAGAGCCUGAACCAGCCAUGCCGCGUGCAGGAAGACGGCCUUCUGGGUUGUAAACUGCUUUUAUAUGGGAAGAAAAAGGCCUUGCGAGGCAAACUGACGGUACCAUAUGAAU